AUUGAACGCUGGCGGCAUGCCUUACACAUGCAAGUCGAACGGCAGCACGGGUGCUUGCACCUGGUGGCGAGUGGCGAACGGGUGAGUAAUACAUCGGAACAUGUCCUGUAGUGGGGGAUAGCCCGGCGAAAGCCGGAUUAAUACCGCAUACGAUCUACGGAUGAAAGCGGGGGACCUUCGGGCCUCGCGCUAUAGGAUUGGCCGAUGGCUGAUUAGCUAGUUGGUGGGGUAAAGGCCUACCAAGGCGACGAUCAGUAGCUGGUCUGAGAGGACGACCAGCCACACUGGGACUGAGACACGGCCCAGACUCCUACGGGAGGCAGCAGUGGGGAAUUUUGGACAAUGGGCGAAAGCCUGAUCCAGCAAUGCCGCGUGUGUGAAGAAGGCCUUCGGGUUGUAAAGCACUUUUGUCCGGAAAGAAAUCCUUGGCCCUAAUACGGUCGGGGGAUGACGGUACCGGAAGAAUAAGCACCGGCUAACUACGUG
Molecule: ribosomal RNA, 486 nt
Filed under: uncultured bacterium
Lineage: Bacteria
Description: partial 16S ribosomal RNA
Rfam family: Bacterial small subunit ribosomal RNA
Source: RNAcentral